GCCAGGCAUGGUGGCGCAUGCCCGUAAUCCCAGUAGCUCGGGAGACUAAGGCAGGAGGAUUGCGAGUUCAAAGCCAGCCUCAGCAAUGGAGGGGUGCUGAGCAAUGCAGUGAGACCCUGUCUCUA
RNAcentral lists this small RNA (125 nucleotides) under Marmota monax (woodchuck). The record is from RNAcentral. Lineage: Eukaryota; Metazoa; Chordata; Mammalia; Rodentia; Sciuridae.